GGUGUGCUGUGAGGCAUGCUGGACCGGCUACAAAAGCAAAUGUAGGCAUGAGUAACGAUAAAAGGGGUGAGAAACCCCUUCGCCGUAAGACUAAGGGUUCCUCGUUCGAUGUUAAUCAGAACAGGGUUAGUCGGGACCUAAGGUGUAGCCGCAAGGCGAAGCCGAUGGCAAACGGGUUAAUAUUCCCGUACCUGCUCACGACGAAAGUGACGGAGGCGUGUAGUUAGUGCGCACUGACGGAAUAGUGCGUUGAACUGUGGGUAACUGCAGGAUAGUACCAGGAAGGCUCCGGUCUGAAUGGAUAAUCUAAUGAAGCGACUUCCAAGAAAUAGCGAGUGAAGCAGCCCGUACCGUAAACCGACACAGGUAGUCGAGGAGAGUAUCCUCAGGCGCUCGAGUGAUUCAUGGCUAAGGAACUAGGCAAAUUGGACGCGUAACUUCGGGA
Molecule: ribosomal RNA, 445 nt
Filed under: Stephanopyxis turris
Lineage: Eukaryota; Bacillariophyta; Melosirophyceae; Stephanopyxales; Stephanopyxidaceae
Description: partial Bacterial large subunit ribosomal RNA
Rfam family: Bacterial large subunit ribosomal RNA
Source: RNAcentral